GAUGAACGCUGGCGGCGUGCCUAAUACAUGCAAGUCGAGCGAACGGACGAGAAGCUUGCUUCUCUGAUGUUAGCGGCGGACGGGUGAGUAACACGUGGAUAACCUACCUAUAAGACUGGGAUAACUUCGGGAAACCGGAGCUAAUACCGGAUGAUAUUUUGAACCGCAUGGUUCAAAAGUGAAAGACGGUCUUGCUGUCACUUAUAGAUGGAUCCGCGCUGCAUUAGCUAGUUGGUAAGGUAACGGCUUACCAAGGCAACGAUGCAUAGCCGACCUGAGAGGGUGAUCGGCCACACUGGAACUGAGACACGGUCCAGACUCCUACGGGAGGCAGCAGUAGGGAAUCUUCCGCAGUGGGCGAAAGCCUGACGGAGCAACGCCGCGUGAGUGAUGAAGGUCUUCGGAUCGUAAAACUCUGUUAUUAGGGAAGAACAUAUGUGUAAGUAACUGUGCACAUCUUGACGGUACCUAAUCAGAAAGCAACGGCUAACUACGUG
This 497-nucleotide ribosomal RNA is filed under the name uncultured bacterium. RNAcentral describes it as "partial 16S ribosomal RNA". It matches the Rfam family "Bacterial small subunit ribosomal RNA", at positions 28 to 507 of the family's 1533-position model. The record is from RNAcentral.